CCUACGGGAGACAGCAGUGGGGGAUAUUGCACAAUGGGGGGAACCCUGAUGCAGCGACGCCGCGUGGGUGAAGAAGCGCCUCGGCGCGUAAAGCCCUGUCAGCAGGGAAGAAAAUGACGGUACCUGAAGAAGAAGCCCCGGCUAACUACGUGCCAGCAGCCGCGGUAAUACGUAGGGGGAAAGCGUUAGCCGGAUUUACGGGGUGUAACGGGGGCGCAGACGGCGAUGCAAGCCAGGAGUGAAAGCCCGGGGCCCAACCCCGGGACUGCUCUUGGAACUGCGUGGCUGGAGUGCAGGAGGGGCAGGCGGAAUUCCUUGUGUAGCGGUGAAAUGCGUAGAUAUCAGGAGGAACACCGGUGGCGAAGGCGGCCUGCUGGACUGCAACUGACGUUGAGGUCCGAAAGCGUGGGGAGCAAACAGGAUUAGAUACCCCUGUAGUC
RNAcentral lists this ribosomal RNA (440 nucleotides) under uncultured bacterium. RNAcentral describes it as "partial 16S ribosomal RNA". It matches the Rfam family "Bacterial small subunit ribosomal RNA", at positions 338 to 795 of the family's 1533-position model. The record is from RNAcentral.